AGUGAACGCUGGCGGUAGGCCUAACACAUGCAAGUCGAACGGCAGCACAGUAAGAGCUUGCUCUUACGGGUGGCGAGUGGCGGACGGGUGAGGAAUACAUCGGAAUCUACUUUUUCGUGGGGGAUAACGUAGGGAAACUUACGCUAAUACCGCAUACGACCUACGGGUGAAAGCAGGGGAUCUUCGGACCUUGCGCGAUUGAAUGAGCCGAUGUCGGAUUAGCUAGUUGGCGGGGUAAAGGCCCACCAAGGCGACGAUCCGUAGCUGGUCUGAGAGGAUGAUCGGCCACACUGGAACUGAGACACGGUCCAGACUCCUACGAGACGCAGCAGUGGGGAAUGUUGGACAGUAGGCGCAAGCCUGAUCCAGCCAUACCGCGUGGGUGAAAAAAGCCUUCGGGUUGUAAAGCCCUUUUGUUGGGAGAGAAAAGCAGCAGGUUAAUACCCCGCUGUUCUGACGGUACCCAAAGAAUAAGCACCGGCUAACUUCGUG
Molecule: ribosomal RNA, 492 nt
Filed under: uncultured bacterium
Lineage: Bacteria
Description: partial 16S ribosomal RNA
Rfam family: Bacterial small subunit ribosomal RNA
Source: RNAcentral